AGAGUUUGAUCCUGGCUCAGGAUGAACGCUGGCGGCGUGCUAACACAUGCAAGUCGAACGAAGCGGUUACAGGGAUCCCUUCGGGAGGACGGUAAUGUCUGAGUGGCGGACGGGUGAGUAACGCGUGGGCAACCUGCCCCAUACCGGGGGAGUAACAGCCGGAAACGGCUGCUAAUACCGCAUACGCCCAGGAGGCUGCAUAGCUUCCUGGGGAAAACUCCGGUGGUAUGGGAUGGGCCCGCGUCUGAUUAGCUCGUUGGUGGGGUAACGGCCCGACCCAAGGCGACGAUCAGUAGCCGGCCUGAGAGGGCGGCCGGCCACAUUGGGACUGAGACACGGCCCAGACUCCUGCGGGAGGCAGCAGUGGGGAAUAUUGCACAAUGGGGGAAACCCUGAUGCAGCGACGCCGCGUGAGCGAUGAAGUAUCUCGGUAUGUAAAGCUCUAUCAGCAGGGAAGAAAGUGACAGUACCUGACUAAGAAGCCCCGGCUAACCACGUG
Molecule: ribosomal RNA, 499 nt
Filed under: uncultured Lachnospiraceae bacterium
Lineage: Bacteria; Bacillati; Bacillota; Clostridia; Lachnospirales; Lachnospiraceae
Description: bacterial SSU rRNA
Rfam family: Bacterial small subunit ribosomal RNA
Source: RNAcentral